ACCCGUACGGGAGGCAUGGAGCGCGGGCGCUCCGCCAGCGCGGCGUCGAUACGGUCGCCAGUCCGACGCGCUGGGCCAAUGGCGAGACCGACCCGUCGAAG
This 101-nucleotide non-coding RNA is filed under the name unclassified sequences. RNAcentral describes it as "c-di-GMP sequence". It matches the Rfam family "c-di-GMP-II-GAG riboswitch aptamer". The record is from Rfam by way of RNAcentral.